Acanthochromis polyacanthus (spiny chromis) is the source of this 481-nucleotide long non-coding RNA. RefSeq lists it as uncharacterized. The transcript has 3 exons. The record is from RefSeq and is a predicted model, not a curated record. NCBI's taxonomy places the organism in Eukaryota, Metazoa, Chordata, Actinopteri, Pomacentridae.
AGUCGGAAAAUACUACAACACCUGUCCGCUCUGAGAAGUUGGAACCCCGCCAGCUGCAGCGCAGAGUCCGGUGUGUUUCCACACAGCCAGGCCUCCGUGAAGCAGAGGGCAGAUGAGGAUGACAGGUCUCCGUUUUUUCCCAACCGUAGUUGAAGUUCGUCCAUUUUAUUGUUCAGAGAGCGCACGUUGGAGAGAAAACGUUGGAGUACGAUGUCCGCGUCGGCGAAGGCGCACAAGCGCCCGGCUCGUUUUCCUCUCCUGCGGCGUUUCCGCAUAGUGUUGGCAAAGGACCAGCUGAUGAUGUUUUAAAGAGUUUUAUUCUGAAACUUAACUGGAACGUUCUUAAUUGCAACAUUCCCAAAGCAUCCUCAGAACAUCUCAGGUGAGGUGGAUUCAGGCGUUGGAGGAGCGACCGGAGGCGUCGGAGGUUUGGGAGCCGGAGUUGAAGCUUUGGAUGCAAACUCUGGAGGAGGAGGAGGAG